UCCGGUUUGUCACCGGCAGUCUCCCCAGAGUGCCCUUGCGUAGCAACUAAUGACAAGGGUUGCGCUCGUUGCGGGACUUAACCCAACAUCUCACGACACGAGCUGACGACGGCCAUGCAGCACCUGUGUCCUGGCUCCCUUUCGGGCACCCUCACAUCUCUGCGAGAUUCCAGGCAUGUCAAGGGUAGGUAAGGUUUUUCGCGUUGCAUCGAAUUAAACCACAUCAUCCACCGCUUGUGCGGGUCCCCGUCAAUUCCUUUGAGUUUUAACCUUGCGGCCGUACUCCCCAGGCGGUCAACUUCACGCGUUAACUUCGUUACCAAGGAAUUGCCUCCCCGACAACCAGUUGACAUAGUUUAGGGCGUGGACUAC
Molecule: unclassified non-coding RNA, 372 nt
Filed under: uncultured Gammaproteobacteria bacterium
Lineage: Bacteria; Pseudomonadati; Pseudomonadota; Gammaproteobacteria
Description: contains 16S-23S intergenic spacer region
Source: RNAcentral